CACUAUGCUUAGCUGUAAACAAUGAUGGGACCUCACACUCAACCCAUCCGCCCGGAUACUACGAGCGCAAGCUUAAAACCCAAAGGACUUGGCGGUGCUUUAGACCCAACUAGAGGAGCCUGUUCUCCAACCGACACUUCCCGUUAAACCUCACCCUUUCUCGUAACUUACAGCCUGUAUACCGCCGUCGCCAGCCUACCCUAUGAUGGACCCGCAGUGAGCUUGAACGAUAACCCUACUCCAGAAUGACAGGUCGAGGCGCAGCUUAUGAAAGGGGCUAAGAAUGGGCUACAUUCGCUUACUUCAAGCGCAUACGGAAACUUAACACUGAAAUACAUAGGUUGAAGGUGGAUCUAGCAGUAAGAGGGGAAUAGCGUGCCCCUCUGAAGCAGGCCAGAAAGCGCGCACACACCGCCCGUCACUCUCCCUUAGCCACAUACCACGGUAACAUCAUUUUAUUCCAAAAGGUUCAUGAUAACGAGGGGAGGAAAGUCGAAA
This 498-nucleotide ribosomal RNA is filed under the name Aulostomus chinensis (Chinese trumpetfish). Its description in RNAcentral is "partial small subunit ribosomal RNA". It matches the Rfam family "Bacterial small subunit ribosomal RNA", at positions 788 to 1491 of the family's 1533-position model. The record is from RNAcentral. Lineage: Eukaryota; Metazoa; Chordata; Actinopteri; Syngnathiformes; Aulostomidae.